CGCAGCCGGGGCGGCCCAGGCACUGCUGUGAGGAGCAGGCUCAGGAGCGCGGGCUGAGCCCGCCCCCCCACCCGGCAGAGACGUGGUUAGAGGCCGGGUGCAUUUCACCUGCUCGGGGCCAGCGAAGAGUGACUGCCCUUCCCAGCACGUUUGCCCCAGCUGCGAGCAGUGCACGAGAUGCCUGCAGGCGGCACCGGGCCCAGGGCUCAGUGGAGACAUCUGGUGAGGUGGGGGCAAGCUGGCUGGAGCUGGGCGGUCUGAAGUCAGCCCCCUCAAGAGCCCUCCUGCCAAGGAGGCUUUUUUGGGACCACAAGCAUGAAAACCCCAGUGGCUGUGACACCUAUGCCAGGCUUCAGCAAACGCAUCUGAUUUCAGUCCCAUUUCCUGCCCUAGAUGACUUUUCUGCCCUGAAUCAAGCUGACAAGUUUUUUGCUGAGGAUCCAAUCUCUCCCUGAAAAUGUGCAAGGAGCCCACCAUGUCUGCUGAGCUGUGAAAAUCCAGAUGGCAGCAGGCAGGCAUUUUCUAUACUUCAGCAGCCUAAAGAUUUUCUGAUCCAGUGAAAGAAAAAAUGACCUGCAGUGCAGAACUGGGCAGAUCUCUAGGCACAACGGUCCCUGAUUCUGGAAUCAUCACAUGCAGCCGCACGUCCCCACUCCAGACGCUUAGGUAGGCAUUUGGGGGGCUAGCUCUCUGGGGUGGCAGUUAAAAAAAGUGGGAAGGGAGGGGACUGCAGCUGUUGCUGCAUCUCAGUGCAGAAGACUCAUAAUUCAGACUCUCAGCAUAAAAGUUUUUGGGCAUUCAGGGCUCCAUUCUCCUCACCCCAAAGAACAUUUAAUUUCUCCAAGUACAUGUACAGACUCUCUGCUGGGUGAACGAGGAUUUCAGGGCCCUCUCAUACAAAAGUCCUUCAUUAAUGUGGCAGGCCAGAUGCCUGCCAUCACUAGUCUUCAAGCUGGCUGGGCUCCCUUCCCCUCAGACAGGUUACAAUUUUGUUUAGGAGGGGGAAGCCUUCAAUCCUGAGGUCAUGUGACAGACAUAGUCACUAUACCUGUCUCCACAUCCAGAAGAGGACUUGGGUCGCAACAAAGGGAACCCUAAUGAUGACAAGAUGUCCAUAUGUAAAGUAUGCCGGGAACAUGCACUGCCACCUAAUGCAGGCAGCUUAAGAAGGAUCCAGACCAAGACAAAUGUGUUGCUGCCUGCCUGCAUGCAGUGUUGCCAGUUCGCACAAUUCUGUUAUCAAAUUUGGGAUAGUUAAUCGUUAAUAAUAGUUAAUUUAAAAAAAAAUUCAGCCCUCAUGUUGGCAAAGAAAAAGUUUGAAAACAUGAACCCAAGAAUAAUGUUUAGAGCUUCACACUUUGAAAGUGAAAUCAUUGGGUUUUUUAAUCCUUUGGGACUAGCAAUACUGUGCAUGCCAGUCAGCAACAGAAAUGAGGAUUUAGCUAUGGUUUCUCCUACUGAUAGCAGCUCCUCUUGGCAGUAAAUAAAAAAGAGGUGCAUGUGUACACACACAAAUGUGCACACAACUAGCUACAUUUGCAUAAAUAAACAUGAAAA
Long non-coding RNA from Alligator sinensis (Chinese alligator), 1557 nucleotides. RefSeq lists it as uncharacterized. Lineage: Eukaryota; Metazoa; Chordata; Crocodylia; Alligatoridae. The transcript has 4 exons. The record is from RefSeq and is a predicted model, not a curated record.